Molecule: transfer RNA, 75 nt
Filed under: Alistipes putredinis
Lineage: Bacteria; Pseudomonadati; Bacteroidota; Bacteroidia; Bacteroidales; Rikenellaceae
Also listed under: 1 other name
Description: tRNA-Gly
Rfam family: tRNA
About the family: Transfer RNA (tRNA) molecules are approximately 80 nucleotides in length. Their secondary structure includes four short double-helical elements and three loops (D, anti-codon, and T loops).
Source: RNAcentral
GCGGAAAUAGCUCAGUUGGUAGAGCACAACCUUGCCAAGGUUGGGGUCGCGAGUUCGAGUCUCGUUUUCCGCUCC